UUCUUUAGAGGGAAAGAAGAAAUCUGUGGAUCUUAAUGCUGGUGCUGGGUGUUAAAAAAUGUAGCAGAGCAAAUGCUUGUUUUAGGCACCACUAAUCCUAAUUAAGGUAUAAUUAAGCUGGAUUUGAGCCAAAUCGGUUUUUUGUUCUAAGAUUUCGUUUUUCGGUUUGCUAACGCAUAUGCCCCUGGCUGAAGGGCCGAGAUUUGCCCGCAGUCAAAACAAACCGAGAGAGGACUGCUGC
This 241-nucleotide unclassified non-coding RNA is filed under the name Hevea brasiliensis (rubber tree). The record is from RNAcentral. Lineage: Eukaryota; Viridiplantae; Streptophyta; Magnoliopsida; Malpighiales; Euphorbiaceae.